UCGUGACGGCUAGCUCAUGACAGUCGAGCGUGUAGAGAGAAGCUUGCUUCUCUUGAGAGCGGCGGACGGGUGAGUAAUGCCUAGGAAUCUGCCUAGUGGUGGGGGAUAACGUUCGGAAACGGACGCUAAUACCGCAUACGUCCUACGGGAGAAAGCGGGGGACCUUCGGGCCUCGCGCCAUUAGAUGAGCCUAGGUCGGAUUAGCUAGUUGGUGAGGUAAUGGCUCACCAAGGCGACGAUCCGUAACUGGUCUGAGAGGAUGAUCAGUCACACUGGAACUGAGACACGGUCCAGACUCCUACGGGAGGCAGCAGUGGGGAAUAUUGGACAAUGGGCGAAAGCCUGAUCCAGCCAUGCCGCGUGUGUGAAGAAGGUCUUCGGAUUGUAAAGCACUUUAAGUUGGGAGGAAGGGCAUUAACCUAAUACGUUAGUGUUUUGACGUUACCGACAGAAUAAGCACCGGCUAACUUCGUGCCAGCAGCCGCGGUAAUACGAAGGGUGCAAGCGUUAAUCGGAAUUACUGGGCGUAAAGCGCGCGUAGGUGGUUCGUUAAGUUGGAUGUGAAAGCCCCGGGCUCAACCUGGGAACUGCAUCCAAAACUGGCGAGCUAGAGUACGGUAGAGGGUGGUGGAAUUUCCUGUGUAGCGGUGAAAUGCGUAGAUAUAGGAAGGAACACCAGUGGCGAAGGCGACCACCUGGGACUGAUACUGACACUGAGGUGCGAAAGCGUGGGGAGCAAACAGGAUUAGAUACCCUGGUAGUCCACGCCGUACACGAUGUCAACUAGCCGUUGGAAUCCUUGGAGAUUUUAGUGGCGCAGCUAACGCAUUAAGUUGACCGCCUGGGGAGUACGGCCGCCCAGGUGAAAACUCACAUGAAUUUGACAG
This 887-nucleotide ribosomal RNA is filed under the name Pseudomonas anguilliseptica. RNAcentral describes it as "bacterial SSU rRNA". It matches the Rfam family "Bacterial small subunit ribosomal RNA", at positions 37 to 916 of the family's 1533-position model. Lineage: Bacteria; Pseudomonadati; Pseudomonadota; Gammaproteobacteria; Pseudomonadales; Pseudomonadaceae. The record is from RNAcentral.